Long non-coding RNA from Haliotis rubra (blacklip abalone), 910 nucleotides. RefSeq lists it as uncharacterized. The record is from RefSeq and is a predicted model, not a curated record. Lineage: Eukaryota; Metazoa; Mollusca; Gastropoda; Lepetellida; Haliotidae. The transcript is spliced from 2 exons.
CUUUAUUUGAAGAGGUAACGGGUUCCAUAAAGUGGCUGCCAAGAGCUGACUGAUGAUAGCAAUUGUAGACAUGUGUCAAAAUUUUGAAUUGAAUGGCAGUUAGUCCAACGUUUGAGUUGGUUUAUGAAUUUGUUGGAUAUAUGACUGGUUCUCGCUUGAUGUGUCUUCCAAAGGGCCCGAGCCUAGUCUCUCUUUAACAUUAACAACUGACAAGACGCCUUGUAUCAAUACUAAUCCGAGUGCCUUGAGUCCGUGACCACAAAGCUGUGAAGUGCCUGGACACAUUAUAAAUGUAUCGUAAGUACUUCACGUGUCCUUCACAGAUACACAAACCGGCCGUAGUACCACGCCAGGCCCACGUGACCUUGUGGAGUUCUGUCAUGUGUCGUGACAGGACUGGCUUUGAUGGUGGGGAUUGUUUUGUUUUCAAAUGCUUCCAUGAGCGUUAUUUUUUUUUAAGUGAUAUAUGGACAUGCUGAGGAUCUGUCACAGUGCAGUUUUUGACUGUCUGGACCGGGGAUAAGGUAUGACGCAUGUCUGUUUUUGUCCUUGUGGCGCUGUGUUGGAGCUCUGCGUACAGUACAUCUGGGCUCCACGGGUCAUUUAUCUGACCACCAAGCCUGAUGCAGAGGCGCACAAGAUUCAGAAACCGGAUAGUGACUCACGUCACAAUUGACUUGCUGAUUAUUCCUGGAAUAACAGUUCAUCCGAUUUGUUGAUAAAGAGUCCAUAUUACACAAUAUGUAUCUUAUCUUGUUCCCAAGAUGUACUUAAUCACAACAAGUAAUCUUAUGAUAGGUGAAUAACUAACACACAUGGGCCUUGGGGAAGCCCAGACUUAAGCUGGUUUUAUUGUGCCAGCUCAGUGGGGGGUAAUUGAAUAUCUAACUCAUUAAAGGUUUGAACUUUG